Molecule: ribosomal RNA, 603 nt
Filed under: Salmonella enterica
Lineage: Bacteria; Pseudomonadati; Pseudomonadota; Gammaproteobacteria; Enterobacterales; Enterobacteriaceae
Also listed under: 2 other names
Description: partial 23S ribosomal RNA
Rfam family: Bacterial large subunit ribosomal RNA
Source: RNAcentral
AGACCCGAAACCCGGUGAUCUAGCCAUGGGCAGGUUGAAGGUUGGGUAACACUAACUGGAGGACCGAACCGACUAAUGUUGAAAAAUUAGCGGAUGACCUGUGGCUGGGGGUGAAAGGCCAAUCAAACCGGGAGAUAGCUGGUUCUCCCCGAAAGCUAUUUAGGUAGCGCCUCGUGAAUUCAUCUCCGGGGGUAGAGCACUGUUUCGGCUAGGGGGCCAUCCCGGCUUACCAACCCGAUGCAAACUGCGAAUACCGGAGAAUGUUAUCACGGGAGACACACGGCGGGUGCUAACGUCCGUCGUGAAGAGGGAAACAACCCAGACCGCCAGCUAAGGUCCCAAAGUCAUGGUUAAGUGGGAAACGAUGUGGGAAGGCCCAGACAGCCAGGAUGUUGGCUUAGAAGCAGCCAUCAUUUAAAGAAAGCGUAAUAGCUCACUGGUCGAGUCGGCCUGCGCGGAAGAUGUAACGGGGCUAAACCAUGCACCGAAGCUGCGGCAGCGACGCUUAUGCGUUGUUGGGUAGGGGAGCGUUCUGUAAGCCUGUGAAGGUGGCCUGUGAGGGUUGCUGGAGGUAUCAGAAGUGCGAAUGCUGACAUAAGUAAC